CGACUAACGGAUUUAACAAGUGUACACUGGUCGCCCGGGUCACAAAGGUCUUAGCGAAGUGUAGGUGGAAGAGCCUCGCGGAGUCCGCCCUGCUGACUGCUGAUCCCAAGCUGGACGGGUGCGACGGCAAGACCCCUUUUGAAGGCGUAAAACAAAGGAAUUCUGCGAUUCGGAGAGAACGGAAACCCCGGUACAAAAGGGAUGAUGGACAGGAGGCCCCCGGAGGUGCAGGAAAGGGCAGUGAUGAACAGGAGCUAGAUCCUCUCCCAUGCCUCUCUCCUUCUCCCCCACACCCCACCUGACAUGCCCCUGCAAGCCGUCAGUCAACCGCC
Scleropages formosus (Asian bonytongue) is the source of this 332-nucleotide long non-coding RNA. RefSeq lists it as uncharacterized. NCBI's taxonomy places the organism in Eukaryota, Metazoa, Chordata, Actinopteri, Osteoglossiformes, Osteoglossidae. The transcript is spliced from 3 exons. The record is from RefSeq and is a predicted model, not a curated record.